This is a long non-coding RNA of Cebus imitator (Panamanian white-faced capuchin), 595 nucleotides long. RefSeq lists it as uncharacterized. The transcript is spliced from 7 exons. NCBI's taxonomy places the organism in Eukaryota, Metazoa, Chordata, Mammalia, Primates, Cebidae. The record is from RefSeq and is a predicted model, not a curated record.
GCCUCUGCGUUCUGAUUCUAUGGAACCUUUUUGUAGGGAGAAGGGCAGGAUGUUUUUAACUGAAUGUGACCUCACGGGAAUACUAGAGAAAAUAAUAAAAUUUCUGAAUGGGGCAGCGUGGAGAAAUCCUAAGAGAAAUAGCAUAAGAGCAUUUUGGAACACAUCCAGGAAAAGAUAACUUUCGACACACCUGUAGACAUUCGCCAGGUAAAGAGCCCCCAAUUUUGUGAGAGACCCUGAAGCAUUGUGACAAUUUGGUUUUAUGUGUCUGCGUGCUCAUAUCAAGACUAAGGAGCGAUGGGAACUCUCCAGCUUAGAUCCAGUAGCUUUUAGGGAAGAUGGAUGCAGAGGCUGAAGAUAAAACACUGUGUACUCGCUCUAAAGGAACCGAGGUGCCAAUGGAUUCACUAAUCCAGGAGCUCAGUGUUGCCUAUGAUUGCUCCAUGGCAAAGAAGAGGAGAGCUGAAGAUCAGGCUUUGGGGGUCCCCGUCAACAAAAGGAAAUCCCUGCUAAUGAAGCCCCGACACUACAGCCCAAACGCAGACUGCCAAGAAGACCGUGGUGACAGGACGGAGGACGACGGCCCACUGGAAAC